CGGGGCUAAACCAUGCACCGAAGCUGCGGCAGCGACGCUAUGUGUUGUUGGGUAGGCGAGCGUUCUGUAAGCCUGAGAAGGUGUGCUGUGAGGCAUGCUGGAGGUAUCAGAAGUGCGAAUGCUGACAUAAGUAACGAUAAAGCGAGUGAAAAGCCCGCUCGCCGGAAGACCAAGGGUUCCUGUCCAUCGUUAAUCGGGGCAGGGUGAGUCGACCCCUAAGUCGAGGCCGUAAGGCGUAGUCGAUGGUAAAC
Molecule: ribosomal RNA, 251 nt
Filed under: Klebsiella pneumoniae
Lineage: Bacteria; Pseudomonadati; Pseudomonadota; Gammaproteobacteria; Enterobacterales; Enterobacteriaceae
Description: partial 23S ribosomal RNA
Rfam family: Bacterial large subunit ribosomal RNA
Source: RNAcentral